This 493-nucleotide ribosomal RNA is filed under the name uncultured bacterium. RNAcentral describes it as "partial 16S ribosomal RNA". It matches the Rfam family "Bacterial small subunit ribosomal RNA", at positions 29 to 507 of the family's 1533-position model. The record is from RNAcentral.
ACGAACGCUGGCGGCGUGCUUAACCCAUGCCAGUCGAACGGUGAAGCGCCUUCCUUUUUGGUGGGUGUGGAUGAGUGGCGAACGGGUGAGUAACACGUGAGUAACCUGCCCCCUUCUUCUGGAUAACCGCAUGAAAGUGUGGCUAAUACGGGAUAUUCUGGGUCUGUCGCAUGAUGGGUCUGGGAAGGAUAUUGUUUCGGUGGGGGAUGGGCUCGCGGCCUAUCAGCUUGUUGGUGGGGUGAUGGCCUACCAAGGCGGUGACGGGUAGCCGGCCUGAGAGGGUGGACGGUCACACUGGGACUGAGACACGGCCCAGACUCCUACGGGAGGCAGCAGUGGGGAAUAUUGCACAAUGGGCGCAAGCCUGAUGCAGCGACGCCGCGUGAGGGAUGGAGGCCUGCGGGUUGUGAACCUCUUUCGCCAGUGAAGCAGGCCUGCCUCGUUUGUGGGUGGGUUGACGGUAGCUGGAGAAGAAGCGCCGGCUAACUACGUG